CACAAAAUGUUUUUUCAUUUAAGUCCAGUUCCCCAUUUUUUAUAACUCACAAAGGUAGUUAGCACUGGACAUUCCUCAACAACAACGUAUCUACAAUUUGAGUGAAGAAUGUAAGUUUACUGAAUACAAAAUUUAAGCCUCCACCAAGAUUCAAACUCCAAAAUCUCUAGCAGCUAAGAGAUUUAUAUUUGGACUUGGUUCUAACAAAAAUAAAUUGAAGAACAAAGUUAAUGAAAUCUAAGGAAAUAAGUGAUUUUUGUGAUUUUGAUUUUAGGCACAUCGGCACAAUUUAGGCCAUGUCGUGCCUGCAGUGCCGAAAGGACUACUCUCUCUCUAAACAACAAGGGCCAGAUUCUAUAGUCAUAUCAUUAAAAUCAAGGUCUAUUCACAGUUAAAAUAGUAAAGAAACCACAAGUUGGAGAACUAGUGAUAGGUUAGUCAGUCCCUUAGGAAUAUAAUACAAAUUUAAAGACAUUGAGCUUUCACUAUAGCCUUAAUACAUAAUUAAUAGUUGUAAACCUGUGAAAGAAUUUUUUAAUAAAGCUAUGUAAUGCCAUUGUGAAAAUUUGUUGUUGUUAAGAAUGCAAAAUACAUAAAACAAAAUGAUUCAGCCAGCAGUGUGAACAAAAACAUGUAGAUUUCUGGCAAACUUAAUGCAAUAUAGUUUUAUAAUUUUCAAGAGAAAUUAUAAUUAAACCUCUUGGGUGAAUGGGAAUAGUAGUUCAUACCUAUGUUAUGUCUUUGAGAAUUUCUUAUAUUCUGAAAUGUUGAUGAACUUUACCCAAACUGAAUUUUAGUAGCCCAAACAAUCCCCAAUUUUUAUUUUUUUGGGGGGUCAAAAUUUAGAUCUAUCUAAAUGUAAAUUCAUUAAAAUAUUUAUUUUUUUUCUGUAAAUUUUUGUUUCAUUUAAAAGCCAGAUCUAAGUCAUAAGCUAGAAAGUAUGUUAGCUUUCUUAUUGAAAAAAAAAAAAAAAAGAAAAAAAAAAAAGAAAACAAAUUGAAAAUACAGACCUGCCUACCAAAAAAAGUCCAAAUGUGUAACACUGAUGGUCAAAAUGUGUAUUUUGGCAUCAGAAUGUGUAACACUUGUGCGAUCGACUAUUUUGUCAAAUAUUAUAUAUAUAUAUAAUUUAAAAGCAAAAUAACAUAUUAUAUUUAGAUCUAGAUAUAUAUUAAUUAAUUAAGGAACACAAUUUCCUUUUUAAUUAAUAGGCCUACAGGCUAUCAAAUCUGUAUCACAACUGCCACUAGUAAAUUUAGAAUCUAGAUAUAGAUCUAGAUAAUCUAUUUAUCUAGAUCUAGCUCUAGUAGUUGCAGAGAGACUGGAUCUUAAAUCUACCUAAUUAAGCUAAUACAUUAAUUUAUAUUAACUUCUAAUACUAUUAUAGUAAUAGUAUAGAGAUCUGGUCUAAAGUCUAGAUUCUAUUAUUUUUUUUAUAGAUACCAGCAAAGACAAGUAGAACAAUUAUAGAUGUAGAAUCUAUAAAGAUCUUAAUCUUAGCCUAAAUGUGUACUACGAUCUAGAUCUAGAUCUCAUGUGGUUUUAUUAUUUACACAUCUUCUAGAUCUAACUAUAUUGUGUAGAUUUAGAAACUUUAGAAUAGAUUACUGUCGUGCACAUCUUGUUUGGUAUUUUCUUUUGAGCACCAUAAGGUUUCGUAAGUUUCUGUUCCUAAGGAUGCGCUAUAUUGGUGUCAUUGUUCUCUUGUUUUGCCUUGAGAUGGAGUUCUCUUGUUUUGCCUUGAGAUGGAGUUCUCUGGGUGGUGGUCUUCUCCAGUAUUGGGUAAGUUAGUUUAUUUUACUACCUUCUAAAUGUCGUAGAUCUAAAAUCGUUUCUUUUAUAAUCGUGCAAAUGGCGGUAUCAAAGGAGUGUGUAUUUUUCUUAUCUAGGGACGCAGGCUUGGGACUCUGCUGGAGUCGAGUCUGAGUUGUAGGCUUGGUAUUUGACUAUUGCCUGUGGCGUUGGGGUGGGCGUUGUGAGCCCUGAUCGACUAUGGCACCGAGAUUAAGGAUGGCUUUGAGUGACCUACGUGACCGCUCGUAAGUUAGUCAAGAGAGGGAAAAAAGGAUAUGAAAUGCGCAACGAGGAGGGUAUUUCGUAUUUGCGUACUGAUGGUCAUUUUUGGGAGAUUUUGUGUGUAACGGUAGGCAGGUCUGAAAAUAUGUAAUCUUACUAUGACAACAAAGUCUUUUAGAAAAAUAUUGAAAACAUUAAUUGGGCAAAGAUUCAAGUGUCUGGACAAAUUUAAAUGACUACCUAUGAGAAUCCUAGCAAAAUAUAUAGGAUUUGAGGAUUUUUGGAAACA
Long non-coding RNA from Biomphalaria glabrata, 2305 nucleotides. RefSeq lists it as uncharacterized. The record is from RefSeq and is a predicted model, not a curated record. Lineage: Eukaryota; Metazoa; Mollusca; Gastropoda; Planorbidae. The transcript is spliced from 3 exons.